Molecule: non-coding RNA, 74 nt
Organism: Syngnathoides biaculeatus (alligator pipefish)
Lineage: Eukaryota; Metazoa; Chordata; Actinopteri; Syngnathiformes; Syngnathidae
Source: the annotation of a RefSeq genome assembly
GGUUCCAUGGUGUAAUGGUCAGCACGUUGGGACUUUGAAUGCCAGUGAUCCGAGUUCAAGUCUCGGUGGAACCU